This 303-nucleotide ribosomal RNA is filed under the name Cassidula zonata. RNAcentral describes it as "eukaryotic LSU rRNA". The record is from RNAcentral. Lineage: Eukaryota; Metazoa; Mollusca; Gastropoda; Ellobiida; Ellobiidae.
UUAGAGCAGGCUAGACUCCAGCCUUUUUACUUAUCUUCAUGGUACCCGUGGCGACGGAGCGGUGGUGUAUUCAGUGAAGCGUGUCGUGGAACUUAAGGGACGUCCGGGCUUUGAGCUAUGUUGUGCUCGGCUCAGGACGACCCGCCGUGGUCUCGAUGGCGCUGUCGUCACAGCUCCUGCAUCCUGCUGCCGCGUCGAACGUGAACUCCGGUGCCCCCUUGCUUGUCCGCAAGCGGCGCUUUCGGGUCCCGCGAAGAAUAUUUCUCGUUCUUCGCUAACUAAACAAGCGGCUGGGAGUCUGCC